CCAUGCUGGCUCUAUUUCUUUUCCUAAAUACUCCUCAUCAGGAGAAUGAGUCGAUAAAACAUCAAGAAUAGCCAUAACUUUAGUAGCUUGAAUCUGGGAAGGGAAGGUAUUCAAAAGUGCAUUUUCAGGUUUUUCAAGGAAGAAUUUCCAUUGUUCAUCAGAUGGAUCUUCAGUGGCAAUGUUGCAUCUUGCAGUGGUUGGCCUAUUGGGGAAAUAGCCUCCGUAAGUGUAUUGGCCGAAGUUAACAGCUGCGUGGUGACCAGAUGUUACCCAAACAAUAGUUGUGAUGAUUUCAAUUAAAUCCUUAGGGGUUUUCAAGACAGGCCACCAAGGUUCAUGUUUCUUGUCACCGUGUCCCACAGUUCGAAUUUCAGUCCACCAAGCUUGGAGCUCUUCAUCAGAUUCUACAAGGCUUUUAUCAGGGUAGUAGUGAUUAACAUAAUCGGUAACCCAUUGUUUUAUGGCAUCCCAGAGAUCAAGGCCAUCAUUGGCAAAAGGAUAGUCUUC
RNAcentral lists this long non-coding RNA (507 nucleotides) under Citrus sinensis (sweet orange). RNAcentral's name for it is "long non-coding RNA (CSIN_LNC005216)". Lineage: Eukaryota; Viridiplantae; Streptophyta; Magnoliopsida; Sapindales; Rutaceae. The record is from RNAcentral.